RNAcentral lists this small RNA (529 nucleotides) under Pongo abelii (Sumatran orangutan). RNAcentral's name for it is "retained intron". Lineage: Eukaryota; Metazoa; Chordata; Mammalia; Primates; Hominidae. The record is from RNAcentral.
GCUCCCGCUCCUGGCUCUGUAGCUGAGAGAAGCCCUGGCAGGUCAGUGGGAGGCACUGUCACCCUGAGUCCUAUGCUGGCAGCGGGGAUCCUUGGGGAGAACCCGGGAUACCGCGGAAGCUGGGAAAUGGAUUCAGUAGCCUUUGAGGAUGUGGCCGUGAACUUCACCCGGGAAGAGUGGGCUUUGCUGGGUCCAUCACAGAAGAGUCUGUACAGAGAUGUGUUAUGGGAAACCAUUAGGAACCUGGACUGUAUAGGAAUGAAAUGGGAAGACACAAACAUUGAAGAUCAGCACAAAAAUCCCAGGAGGAGCCUAAGGUAAUUUGCACUCACAAGAGAAAGACAUAUAUCUGUGGAGCAAUUCUUAGGAUGCAGGAAAUUAUACAACUAGGCAAAGAAAAUGAACGAGCCCAGUAUAAACUUAUUUAUUCCUAUAAAAUUUUCUGCAGAAACAUAAAUAUGACGUAACUAUUCAGUGUUUGCAAAAAUAGUUCCCUUAGAAACAAUAUUAAGAAUUCGGCCGGGUGUGG